GGCAGAGUGCCAGAGUGGUUAAUGGGUGUGACUCGAAAUCACAUGGCUUCGGCCGCAUGAGUUCAAAUCUCAUCUCUGUCG
This is a non-coding RNA of Colletotrichum tofieldiae, 81 nucleotides long. NCBI's taxonomy places the organism in Eukaryota, Fungi, Ascomycota, Sordariomycetes, Glomerellales, Glomerellaceae. The record is from the annotation of a GenBank genome assembly.